AAGAUUCUAGCUUAAUUAAAGCAUCUGAGUUGCAAUCAGAAGAUGCAGGGUAAUGUCUUGCGAGUCUUA
This 69-nucleotide transfer RNA is filed under the name Anthornis melanura. RNAcentral's name for it is "tRNA-Ala". It matches the Rfam family "tRNA". From Rfam's summary of the family: Transfer RNA (tRNA) molecules are approximately 80 nucleotides in length. The record is from RNAcentral. Lineage: Eukaryota; Metazoa; Chordata; Aves; Passeriformes; Meliphagidae.